RNAcentral lists this unclassified non-coding RNA (492 nucleotides) under Hevea brasiliensis (rubber tree). Lineage: Eukaryota; Viridiplantae; Streptophyta; Magnoliopsida; Malpighiales; Euphorbiaceae. The record is from RNAcentral.
AGAAACAGAAGGAUUCUGCUUCCACAUGAUUCAAUCGUUAGGCCAUGCAGAUGAUCCUGGCAGGUUACGAUUGCUAGGCCAAACACUGCAUGGAUGAAUUUUAGGUAGCUGGUGGAUUUUUGGAGGUCUAACCAUAGGUAGCAAAGAAGGAAUAUAAUCAGUGGAAAUCUUUAUUAGUGUUAAUUGUAUGUUUUUUCACAUACGGGAAGUUUGUGUAAUGGCCAUAUGCCUAGAGUAUGUCGAUCUUGAUUUGUCUUGGCCAUCUGCACUUACAUAUUAUGUUAACAUAGAUUUUGCAACAACCUUAACAUAAAUAUGGCACCCAGAUUUGGUUACUAAUCCAUUAUUAAUUGGGAUGUGCUGAAUGAUCGAUUUUGCUCUUGGAACGGAGAUGUGUCCCAAAGCAUCUUUGAAAGGGAAGCAAGAAGAAGAAGAAGUAGUUUAUGAAGAGAAUUAAGGAUUGGGUGAAUCAAAUUGUAAUUCUCAUUUCUG